UACGAGGGGGGCGAGCGUUGUUCGGAAUUAUUGGGCGUAAAGGGCGCGUAGGCGGUCGGAUAAGUCUUGUGUGAAAUCUUCGGGCUCAACUCGAAGUCUGCACAGGAAACUAUCUGGCUUGAGUGUGGGAGAGGUGAGUGGAAUUCCUGGUGUAGCGGUGAAAUGCGUAGAUAUCAGGAGGAACACCUGUGGCGAAGGCGGGUCUCUGGGCAAUAACUGACGCUGAGGAGCGAAAGCGUGGGGAGCGAACAGG
Molecule: ribosomal RNA, 253 nt
Filed under: uncultured bacterium
Lineage: Bacteria
Description: partial 16S ribosomal RNA
Rfam family: Bacterial small subunit ribosomal RNA
Source: RNAcentral